This 533-nucleotide ribosomal RNA is filed under the name uncultured Bacillota bacterium. Its description in RNAcentral is "bacterial SSU rRNA". It matches the Rfam family "Bacterial small subunit ribosomal RNA", at positions 1 to 534 of the family's 1533-position model. The record is from RNAcentral. Lineage: Bacteria; Bacillati; Bacillota.
GGAUCCAGACUUUGAUCCUGGCUCAGGAUGAACGCUGGCGGCGUGCUUAACACAUGCAAGUCGAACGAAGCACUUUAAUUGAUUUCUUCGGAAUGAAGUUUUUGUGACUGAGUGGCGGACGGGUGAGUAACGCGUGGGUAACCUGCCUCAUACAGGGGGAUAACAGUUGGAAACGACUGCUAAUACCGCAUAAGCGCACAGGAUUGCAUGAUCCAGUGUGAAAAACUCCGGUGGUAUGAGAUGGACCCGCGUCUGAUUAGCCAGUUGGCGGGGUAACGGCCCACCAAAGCGACGAUCAGUAGCCGACCUGAGAGGGUGACCGGCCACAUUGGGACUGAGACACGGCCCAAACUCCUACGGGAGGCAGCAGUGGGGAAUAUUGCACAAUGGGGGAAACCCUGAUGCAGCGACGCCGCGUGAGCGAAGAAGUAUUUCGGUAUGUAAAGCUCUAUCAGCAGGGAAGAAGAAUGACGGUACCUGACUAAGAAGCACCGGCUAAAUACGUGCCAGCAGCCGCGGUAAUACGUAUGGUG